CCUACGGGUGGCAGCAGUGAGGAAUAUUGGUCAAUGGACGAGAGUCUGAACCAGCCAAGUAGCGUGAAGGAUGACUGCCCUAUGGGUUGUAAACUUCUUUUAUAAAGGAAUAAAACGAGGCACGUGUGCCUUUUUGCAUGUACUUUAUGAAUAAGGAUCGGCUAACUCCGUGCCAGCAGCCGCGGUAAUACGGAGGAUCCGAGCGUUAUCAGGAUUUAUUGGGUUUAAAGGGAGCGUAGAUGGGUUGUUAAGUCAGUUGUGAAAGUUUGCGGCUCAACCGCAAAAUUGCAAUUGAUACUGGCAGUCGUGAGUACAGUUGAGGUAGGCGGAAUUCGUGGUGUAGCGGUGAAAUGCUUAGAUAUCACGAAGAACCCCGAUUGCGAAGGCAGCUUACUAAACUGUGACUGACAUUGAUGCUCGAAAGUGUGGGUAUCAAACAGGAUUAGAUACCCUGGUAGUC
RNAcentral lists this ribosomal RNA (460 nucleotides) under uncultured bacterium. Its description in RNAcentral is "partial 16S ribosomal RNA". It matches the Rfam family "Bacterial small subunit ribosomal RNA", at positions 338 to 795 of the family's 1533-position model. The record is from RNAcentral.